RNAcentral lists this ribosomal RNA (449 nucleotides) under uncultured bacterium. RNAcentral describes it as "bacterial SSU rRNA". It matches the Rfam family "Bacterial small subunit ribosomal RNA", at positions 329 to 794 of the family's 1533-position model. The record is from RNAcentral.
UGCCAGACUCCUACGGGAGGCAGCAGUGGGGAAUAUUGCACAAUGGGGGAAACCCUGAUGCAGCGACGUCGCGUGAGUGAAGAAGUAUCUCGGUAUGUAAAGCUCUAUCAGCAGGAAAGAUAAUGACGGUACCUGACUAAGAAGCCCCGGCUAACUACGUGCCAGCAGCCGCGGUAAUACGUAGGGGGCAAGCGUUAUCCGGAUUUACUGGGUGUAAAGGGAGCGUAGACGGCAGCGCAAGUCUGGAGUGAAAUGCCGGGGCCCAACCCCGGAACUGCUUUGGAAACUGUGCGGCUCGAGUGCGGGAGAGGUAGGCGGAAUUCCUAGUGUAGCGGUGAAAUGCGUAGAUAUUAGGAGGAACACCAGUGGCGAAGGCGGCUUACUGGACCGUAACUGACGUUGAGGCUCGAAAGCGUGGGGAGCAAACAGGAUUAGAUACCCCUGUAAGG